AACGAACGCUGGCGGCAUGCCUAACACAUGCAAGUCGAACGAGACCUCCGUGUCUAGUUGCGCACACGUGCGUAACGCGUCGGAACCUUGCGUUAUGUUUGGAAUAACUCUCCUUAAGGGGUGCUAAUACCGGAUAAUGUCCGCUGACCAAAGAUUUAUCGCCUUUGGAUGGGCCCGCGUUGGUUUACCUGGUUGGUAGGGUAAAAGCCUACCAAGGCGACGAUCGAUAGCUGGGCUGAGAGACUGGUCAGCCACACUGGGAGUAAGACACGGCCGAGAAUACUAGGGGAGGGAGGCAUGGCUAAUCUAGGAAAAUCGGCGAAAGCAUGAAGCAGCACUGGCGCGUGAGUCAUGUAGGUCUGAGAGUAGUACAGCUCUUUUACCCGCGAUGAUUCUGACAGUACCCGGAGAAUAAGCUCCGGCUAACUUCGUG
This 433-nucleotide ribosomal RNA is filed under the name uncultured bacterium. RNAcentral's name for it is "partial 16S ribosomal RNA". It matches the Rfam family "Bacterial small subunit ribosomal RNA", at positions 29 to 507 of the family's 1533-position model. The record is from RNAcentral.